Molecule: long non-coding RNA, 1996 nt
Organism: Marmota monax (woodchuck)
Lineage: Eukaryota; Metazoa; Chordata; Mammalia; Rodentia; Sciuridae
Exons: 4
Source: RefSeq, a predicted model, not a curated record
CGGGCUACAUGAAAAAUUACUCUAAUUAUGGCUGCAUUUAAGAGAAUGGAAAAAAACCUUCUUGUGGAUAAAAACCUUAAAUUGUCCCCAAUGUCUGCUUCAAAUUGGAUGGCACUGCAGCUGGAGGCUUUGUUCAGAAUUGAUCCUGGGGAGCUACGAACCCAAAGUUUCACAGUAGGAAGGGGGAAAAAAGAAAAGAAAACAUUUUUCCUAAUGUAACAAUGCGAAUGCUAGAAAAUGACAAGACUGAUCGGUUUUAAACCAUUCUGAAGACUGACUGAGCGUGGAAGUUGCUCAACAAAAAAAGGAACGGGUAUAUUGUUGCUGAGACAGAAGGAAAAUCCACUCCUUUGGAAGAACAUGGUUUUUUCUUACAUUGCUUCCCCACUGCUGUGGCGAUCCUUGCACCCUGGCCCCUGGAAACCAUCAUCAAGAAGACACUGUGAAUGGGCUGCCACUCUCCUAAAGAAGAGGAAUAUCAACUACAGUUUCUCUCUAGAUUGCCUUUUUCUGUUCAAAUAAUGAUUCUCACCAGGGUCAGAUUAAAUAUAACCCAAUGAGACAACUUUUUGGAGGACUAGCUGCUAAUGGCAUUAAAAAUGUUAAUAGCAUACUAACAUAUCUAUGGAAAUACAAGGAGAGGAAAAUGUAUUUAUAAGCUCUUCUCUCAGGGAGAAUUCUGCAUGGGAUUGGAAGGAAUGGCUUAAUAAAUUCCUCAGGGGUGGAAAACGGGGAGUAGUCAGAGGAAGCUGUUUUAUCGCGAGAUUUCUGCUUUUCCUACUGGGAUAUGUAAAUUGGGUGUUCCCACUAAAUUGCCCAUCAUCACAGAGAAGAGCUUGAGUGUCUUAGUGGUCCUCCUGCUCAGUUCUUUUCCUCUAGUAAAGAUUGAACAAGUAGUAGUUUGAAGGAGACACCAGUUUAUUAGCCUACACCAGCAUCAGCACUCUAGGGCUUGAAGAUGAAUACAUUGUCAUAGGCCAUCUAGUUCUAUGACGUGAGCCCUUAAAGUGUCUUUUAAACUUAAGGGUGAGGGUCAUUGCUAACAAAGUAUUUCAAGUCAAAUGAAGCUUGAACUCUUUGUCUAUAGGUGAGCCCCCACCCCCCGCCCAACCGUAUUGAAUGAAUUAAUCAAUGAAAAUACUAGAUUGAGCUGGGAACUUCAAAUAUAUUUGGCUGAAGGGUGAUAUUGCUAGUUAUUUUUAAAAGAGGACAUCAUGGAACAUGCUUGGAAUCAUAAAAUAUGGAAUUGAUGGUUGCAUUUAAUAACUCAACAAACAGUCAAGUAUGGGAAGGACUUUGUAGAGUCUUACAGGCAAAAUAGACAUGGUUCCUAUCCCAUGGACCUUAUAUUCUAACUUCCCCUUAAGUGCGAAGAGCAGUGUUUAUAAUCAAUUGGUAGCCACAAAGGUAUUCUCAGGCCCAGAUUUCUGAUCAAGAUGGUAGGGCUUGUAGUUCAGUGGUAGAGCACUGACUAGCAUGCACAGGGUCCUGGUUCUGAUCCCAGCAACACACAUGGGAGUCCAAUCAAUAAGACUGUGCAGUCUUAGCAACCACUGAAAUUCAAGAAGGAGCCAUUUUUUUUUCUUAGACUGAAGAAACCAUCAAUCAAUACCUGAUUGGCCAAGUUUCAACAUGGAGAAGCGGAAAACUUUAGAGGACCUGGCCAAGGCAAGGAGAGCUACCCAGUUGUAACCUUACCAGAGCUUAAAGAGCCCUUCAUUAUACUCACCUGUGCUUCAUCUCCACCUCACAUGCUCUGUGGAUAACAUGGUUAACCAGUCACUCGGCAGAUCAAGCCACUGAACAAAUGGUCCAACUGGGACAACAGAAGCACAGUCAUCCAUGGUCAUCCCAGUGAAUAAGGCCUCUAUCAAGUCAUGUGCGUGCCGGUGCACUGAAUGAGAACAUAACCCAAGUGACUGCUGACACAGUCUUUGCCAGAAGUGUAAAUUAUGUGGCAACAUCUAAAAGAGCACCUUAUAAUUUCAGAUUUCUU